UACGUAGGGUGCGAGCGUUAAUCGGAAUUACUGGGCGUAAAGCGUGCGCAGGCGGUUAUUUAAGUCAGGUGUGAAAGCCCUGGGCUUAACCUAGGAAUUGCGCUUGAGACUGGAUAGCUUGGAGUGCGGCAGAGGGAGGUGGAAUUCCACGUGUAGCAGUGAAAUGCGUAGAUAUCUGGAGGAAUACCGGUGGCGAAGGCGGCAUCCUGGACCGAAACUGACGCUGAGGCGCGAAAGCGUGGGGAGCAAACAGG
RNAcentral lists this ribosomal RNA (254 nucleotides) under uncultured bacterium. RNAcentral's name for it is "partial 16S ribosomal RNA". It matches the Rfam family "Bacterial small subunit ribosomal RNA", at positions 524 to 776 of the family's 1533-position model. The record is from RNAcentral.